AACUAAAGUUAUAGCCGGAAUUAAGUUCUUGGAACUCUUACAUAGUCGCCCACAGAAGCUAAGCAGGGCUGCGUCUGGUCAGUAUUCGAAUGGGUGACCACUUGGGAAAGCUAGGUUGCUAGUGGUUA
RNAcentral lists this ribosomal RNA (128 nucleotides) under Danio rerio (zebrafish). Lineage: Eukaryota; Metazoa; Chordata; Actinopteri; Cypriniformes; Danionidae. The record is from RNAcentral.